CGGGUACUGCGCGAUACGUCACAGGCGAUUAUGUCCCUGGGCCAACAGUGUUCCACUCGGGAGCUGUCCCUACCGGCGGUGUGCCGUCGGCACACGGCGCCCACCUGCACAUGCAGGCGCCAGUGGUACUAGAACGCCAACGGUCGAUGCGGUCCCGUC
Molecule: non-coding RNA, 159 nt
Filed under: Alphaproteobacteria bacterium
Lineage: Bacteria; Pseudomonadati; Pseudomonadota; Alphaproteobacteria
Description: 6S RNA
Rfam family: 6S / SsrS RNA
About the family: E. coli 6S RNA was the first non coding RNA to be sequenced, but its function was unknown until recently. It consists of 184 nucleotides that fold into an extended hairpin structure with a large single-stranded internal bulge. The 6S RNA specifically associates with RNA polymerase holoenzyme containing the sigma70 specificity factor.
Source: RNAcentral